GAUGAACGCUGGCGGCGUGCCUAAUACAUGCAAGUCGAGCGAACAGAUGAGGAGCUUGCUCCUCUGACGUUAGCGGCGGACGGGUGAGUAACACGUGGAUAACCUACCUAUAAGACUGGGAUAACUUCGGGAAACCGGAGCUAAUACCGGAUAAUAUAUUUAACCGCAUGGUUCAAUAGUGAAAGACGGUUUUGCUGUCACUUAUAGAUGGAUCCGCGCCGCAUUAGCUAGUUGGUAAGGUAACGGCUUACCAAGGCAACGAUGCGUAGCCGACCUGAGAGGGUGAUCGGCCACACUGGAACUGAGAAACGGUACAGACUCCGACGGGAGGCAGCAGUAGGGAAUCUUACGCAAUGGGCGAAAGCCUGACGGAGCAACGCCGCGUGAGUGAUGAAGGUCUUCGGAUCGUAAAACUCUGUUAUUAGGGAAGAACAAAUGUGUAAGUAACUAUGCACGUCUUGACGGUACCUAAUCAGAAAGCCACGGCUAACUACGUG
Molecule: ribosomal RNA, 497 nt
Filed under: uncultured bacterium
Lineage: Bacteria
Description: partial 16S ribosomal RNA
Rfam family: Bacterial small subunit ribosomal RNA
Source: RNAcentral